This 1234-nucleotide long non-coding RNA is filed under the name Sus scrofa (pig). RNAcentral's name for it is "lncRNA (ENSSSCG00055023116.1)". Lineage: Eukaryota; Metazoa; Chordata; Mammalia; Artiodactyla; Suidae. The record is from RNAcentral.
AUUUCUCUUGCACAUCAGAAAAUGUCCAGAAGUGGGCAUUCAGGCCUGGGGGGAAGGCCCUCGGACAUCAGGAACCCAGGCUUUUGCCUCCUGCUCCCCCAUGUCCUGUGUGUGGCUUCCCCAUCCUCUGGUUCUCUGUGGACGAUGACAGCUCAGCCAAGGCAUCGCCCUCCAGGCAGGAAACACGAGCCCCUCCCUUCUCAGGCAGCUCUUUAAGCAGCCUCCCUUCCAGGAAGCCCCACAGCCUCCCUGCUCCCGUGUCGCUGGUCGGUUCAGGUCUCCCGGCCAUACCCAACUGUGAGAGUGGCUGGAAAUGAUCUGCAGUGCAGCCAACUAGUUGGGGUUCUGUCACCCAGGGGAACAGGGGGAUGGAUGUUCGCGUGGUGAACCUGCACUCUCUGCCACACUGAUCUCAUUUCCUGGGUCCUGGGGCGUCCAUCUGGGCCAUAAAAUUCUCAUUGCUGAAGAUGCCGCGUCCCGCCUCUUAAAGGAAAGAAAAGGAAAGGGUGCCUGAGUCAGCAUCAAGGCUGGGCUUUUGGGGGAGCGGGAGGGGCGGAGUGAUGGGGAUUACAGUGGAUCGUACUUCUGAUGGAUUGGAUUCUGAUGCACAUGCACCCGUCUCCCCUGAGACGAGGGACAUGCACAGGAGCAAGACAGAGACCCCGUCCCAGGGCAGAGCUCCCGGGAAAGCUGAAUGAAGGAUCCUGGACUGUGCGGCCACCACCUUGACCCAUAUCUGCCGCCAGUUUCCUCAGACACACAGAAUCGGGGUCUCCACUUGGCUCAAGCCAGCCUUGGAGUUCAGGAAGUGUCACCCCAUUUUCAACUGUCUUCAGUCGGCUCUUCUGCGUGUUUCCCUUUAAUGGUCUUUGUGCAAAAUAUGCAGCUGGUUGGGGAGGGACAGGAAGUUGCACAAACCCCUCAGCAGAUGAUCCCUGGUGUCUGGGGCUGGCCGGGUGGCAGAAAGGCCAGACCCGUUCUGCUUGGGAGCCUGAUGGGUUUGGCCCCGAUCCUGGCUGCCUCCCUCUUCAGCUGCGUGACCUUGGGUGGGCUCCUGAAACUCUGCGGCUGUUUCCUCUCCCAAAGCAUUUCCUUAUCUGCCUUUUCCCUGGAGUAUUAUAUUGUGAGGGGGAUCAAUGAACAAAUAUAUACCUUUCCGCCUUUGCGAUGUUACCCCAUAAUAAAAACCCAUGUGCUAUGAGCAUCUCUGCAAUAAAAGCACCUUCGAAGGACA